This 82-nucleotide transfer RNA is filed under the name Spirochaetales bacterium. RNAcentral describes it as "tRNA-Leu". It matches the Rfam family "tRNA". From Rfam's summary of the family: Transfer RNA (tRNA) molecules are approximately 80 nucleotides in length. Their secondary structure includes four short double-helical elements and three loops (D, anti-codon, and T loops). Further hydrogen bonds mediate the characteristic L-shaped molecular structure. tRNAs have two regions of fundamental functional importance: the anti-codon, which is responsible for specific mRNA codon recognition, and the 3' end, to which the tRNAs corresponding amino acid is attached (by aminoacyl-tRNA synthetases). tRNAs cope with the degeneracy of the genetic code in two manners: having more than one tRNA (with a specific anti-codon) for a particular amino acid; and 'wobble' base-pairing, i.e. permitting non-standard base-pairing at the 3rd anti-codon position. Lineage: Bacteria; Pseudomonadati; Spirochaetota; Spirochaetia; Spirochaetales. The record is from RNAcentral.
GCGAGAGUGGUGAAAUUGGCAGACACGCCAGACUUAGGAUCUGGUGCCUUUAGGCGUAUGGGUUCAAGUCCCUUCUCUCGCA